UACGUAGGGGGCAAGCGUUGUCCGGAUUUAUUGGGCGUAAAGAGCGUGUAGGCGGCCAGACAGGUCCGUUGUGAAAACUCCAGCUCAACCUGGAGACGCCACCCGAUACUGCCAUGGCUAGAGUCCGGUAGGGGACCACGGAAUUCCUGGUGUAGCGGUGAAAUGCGCAGAUAUCAGGAGGAACACCGGUGGCGAAGGCGGUGGUCUGGGCCGGAACUGACGCUGGAGGAGCGAAAGCGUGGGGAGCGAACAGGA
This 255-nucleotide ribosomal RNA is filed under the name uncultured bacterium. RNAcentral describes it as "partial 16S ribosomal RNA". It matches the Rfam family "Bacterial small subunit ribosomal RNA", at positions 524 to 777 of the family's 1533-position model. The record is from RNAcentral.